This 253-nucleotide ribosomal RNA is filed under the name uncultured Acidobacteriota bacterium. RNAcentral describes it as "uncultured Acidobacteria bacterium partial 16S ribosomal RNA". It matches the Rfam family "Bacterial small subunit ribosomal RNA", at positions 524 to 776 of the family's 1533-position model. Lineage: Bacteria; Pseudomonadati; Acidobacteriota. The record is from RNAcentral.
UACAGAGGUGGCUAGCGUUGUUCGGAAUUACUGGGCGUAAAGGGCGCGUAGGCGGCUUGAUAAGUCCUGUGUGAAAUCCCUCGGCUCAACUGAGGAACUGCACAGGAAACUGUCUGGCUUGAGUUCGGGAGAGGGAAGUGGAAUUCCGGGUGUAGCGGUGAAAUGCGUAGAUAUCCGGAGGAACACCGGUGGCGAAGGCGGCUUCCUGGACCGACACUGACGCUGAGGCGCGAAAGCUAGGGGAGCAAACGGG